RNAcentral lists this long non-coding RNA (1961 nucleotides) under Podarcis lilfordi (Lilford's wall lizard). The record is from RNAcentral. Lineage: Eukaryota; Metazoa; Chordata; Lepidosauria; Squamata; Lacertidae.
GGAGUGAUAUGGCUUAGUAAUAGGAGGCAGGAAUAAAUGAGUUGGAUAAAACAGGGUUGCAUUGUGUGGCAGUGUGUUUUUUUCCAGUGUCCAAAGGAAGCCUUGAUGCCUGAUGGGAAAUCCCCAUAGAUUAGCCAAUACAUGGCUGAAUUACUGCAAGAGGAAAUCUGUGGAGAUUUCAUGUGGCUAGCAGGUCUUGGACUUAAUGGAGUUAUGCAUUCAUUCACACAUUCCAGUCUUGUGUAUGUAUAAAACAAUCUCAUGCUAGCUGAAGGUGUGUCAAAUGUUUUAGUCUAGAAUUUCAGGCUAGCAAUGUUGAUGUUUGGCACAUUAUCCUAUUACCUCCAAGCAAGCUAUUCUCUAUAACAUUUGACAGACAGUACAUGAUGAGGUUGAGAUCUGUAAUUUAAUCACUAAGAGUCUGAUGUGAUGUGUACUUUUAUUUAGAAGAGGGCAGAUCCAUCAUCAAGGCUGCAAUUUUAGUCUUAUACUUGACACCAGUCUUCCCAGUGACCCAGUGCAUUAAUGAAUAAUACCUUUCAACCAUUGACCCCUGAAUAUAUUGAAACUGUUCCUCCAUGUCAUGCUCCUUUCAGGCUGUCCAAUAGCAGAGUAAAUGUCAGUAGUGAGUUAGCUUUUGCAGUGACAUUUAUAAUGUUUGAAACAAAGUGCAUUUUAAAUGCCAGUUUAAUUUUUCUUUUACAAAUGAUAGCCAUGAAUUUUCUUCAGACAAGCUGCAAAGCUUAUUUAUUUAUUAUUUAUUAAAUUUGUAUACCACCCUUCAUCUGAAGAUCACAGGGCAGUUUGCAACAUAAACAUACAAAAUGAGAAUACAAAUCAAAAAAAGCUGCCCAGUGUCUAGGUUGUGGUUGUAGCUAGAGUCCAGGUUGGUGAUGAGUUGCAGAGCUUGGCAGGCCGGUAAUAGUGAGGAGUGUGCAGAUGUGACCCAACUUCAGUACCUGGGACAGCGCAAUGUGGUCUAGAACCAAAACUAUGGUUAUCUAGCAGAGGCCCGUCUAGAGAGCAGGUCACCUGGAGCGAUCUUCCAUAUGUGAGCAGAAGUGUGUCUUCUUGGACCUUCGUCCUUGGAGGAGACAAGGGAUAAUGGUCUUGCUUCUGAAAUGUAUUCUCUGGUGAGGCUGGUAUGUUUUUUGCUGUUUCUAGCCCUGAUGUGAUUGUGGAGUUGCUGGUGAGCAGUAAUUGGUAUCCAAGGACAAUGUAAGAAGAAGCAUUAUUGGGAGUAGUAGCCAGAGGAAGCAUGAUCCACUGAGGCUCACCUUCCUUUUCAUCCAAGGAAAUUUGCACAAGAGGGGCUGCCUCACUUAAUCUCUCUUCUAAUGCAAAAAUAUUAAUCUGAGUGUUAGGACACAGCAGCACACACUCUCACUGGACAUAAAGCAGAGGAGAGAGCAGUAUGUAUAUUAUAUGGCCCAGCCUUGCAUGCCUACCUUAAACAGUAAAUUGUUAAAAGAAGAUGAAGAAAUCAAAUACACUUCAGGUACUAACAAUUUUAACUGUUUGUUUAGAACCAUUGCAUCAUCCUGAAAAAUGUUAAGACAAUUUGCUCUCUCUCUUUUUUUUAGGGCAUUACAGGAAUUGGUAAUUAUGUACCUUCAGGAAUGUGCAGAGCUGAUGGAUUAGGACAAUGAUGUACACUUAGGGCAAUACAUUUAAAUUUAAAGUGAAAGGUUUCUGACACAACACAUAUAUUACACAGAGGUUGUUUCAGAGAUGAGUACUUGGACGCAGACCAGUCAUUCAAUUCAUUUUCCUCUGACCUUGAUGCUGUUAAGUUGAUUAAGGAAGCUUAUGGCUGAAACAUAGUUUCUCCACACUCCUAAACUGUCUUGUGGCCACCUAUGUGACAGACCCAGGUCCAGCAUUCUUAUCUUUAUACAGAGAUUGGGGAGUGGGGCAGGUCUGCAUAUCAUGACUGCCACAUGGAGGCAGCACAAAACAAC